RNAcentral lists this ribosomal RNA (253 nucleotides) under uncultured bacterium. RNAcentral describes it as "partial 16S ribosomal RNA". It matches the Rfam family "Bacterial small subunit ribosomal RNA", at positions 524 to 776 of the family's 1533-position model. The record is from RNAcentral.
UACGAAGGUGGCAAGCGUUACUCGGAAUCACUAGGCGUAAAGCGCAGGUAGGCGGUUGGAUAAGUUUCUUGUGAAAGCUCCCGGCUUAACUGGGAGAGGUCAAGGAAUACUGUCUGACUAGAGUGUGGUAGGGGUAACUGGAAUUCCCGGUGUAGCGGUGAAAUGCGUAGAUAUCGGGAGGAAUACCUAUGGCGAAGGCAGGUUACUGGGCCAUCACUGACGCUGAGCUGCGAAAGCAUGGGGAGCGAACAGG